GGGCGGGGAUGAACCUGCGGCUUAUCAGGUAGUUGGUAGGGUAACGGCCUACCAAGCCAAUAACGAGUAGCUGGCCUGGGAGGGUGGUCAGCCAGAGGGGCACUGAUAUACGGGCCCCACUCCUACGGGAGGCAGCAAUCAGGAAUAGUCGGCAAUGGGCGAAAGCCUGACCGCGCGACGCCGUGUGUAGGAAUAAGCUCUAACGAGUGUAAACUACUGUGGUAAAGGAAGAAGUCCCGCCUUUGGCGGGAUUGACGGUACUUUACUAGAAAGGGGCCGCUAACUGCGUGCCAGAAGCGUCGGUAAUACGUGGGCCCCGAACAUUAUCCGGUUUUAUUGGGUGUAAAAGGUCGUGUAGGUGUCUUAAUAAGUCUUAUUUUAAAUACUGUGACUCAAUCAUAGGAAAAGGUAGGAUACUGUUAAGAUCGAGUUUACUUUAGGGAGAUUGGAACUUAGGGAGGAGUAGUGAAAUGCGUUGAUACCCUAGGGAACACCAGUGGCGAAGGCGAAUCUCUGAAAGUUUACUGACACUGAGACACGAAAGCUAGGGGAGCGAAGCAGAUUAGAGACCUGCGUAGUCCUAGCCGUAAACGCAUGCUUGCUAGCCGCAUUUUUUAGCCGCAAGGUUGAAAGGUGUAGCGUAGGUAACCCGUUAAGCAAGCCACCUGGGGAGUACGGCCGCAAGGUUGAAACUCAAAGGAAUUGGCGGGGAGGCACACAACCAGUGGAACAUGUGGUUCAAUUCGAAACGAACCGAAGAACCUCACCAGGGUUUGACAUGCCGAUGAUCUAUUUUUCGUGAAAGCGGGGUUUCCGCAAGGACAUCGGCACAGGUACUGCAUGGCUGUCGUCAGCUCGUUCCGUGAGGAGUGCCCUUAAGUGGGACAACGAGCGCAACCCCUAUCUGCUGUUAUAUGUAUCAGCCGAGACAGCCCCGACUUAGUCGGGGAGGAAGGUGGGGCAGACGUCAAGUCAGCAUGGUCCUUAUACCCUGGGCUACACACAUGUUACAAUGGGUAGUAACAACGGGUGCUAAACCGCAAGGUCAAGCCAAUCCCUGAAAUCUACCCUCAGUGGGGAUUGAGGUCUGCAACUCGACCUCAUGAACACGGAAUUGGUAGUAAUCGCGGAUCAGCUAUGCCGCGGUGAAUACGUUCUUGCCUCUUGCACACACCGCCC
Molecule: ribosomal RNA, 1179 nt
Filed under: uncultured bacterium
Lineage: Bacteria
Description: bacterial SSU rRNA
Rfam family: Bacterial small subunit ribosomal RNA
Source: RNAcentral